AAAGAGGAAGGCUAAGAAAUAUUGGACUCCUAGUUUGCGAGAUUCCAAGCGUUGCGAUGAUCCUAAUUGUUGUUGGCCUAAUAUAUUAGGCCAAUAACGAGUUCCAAAGUAGAAACUCCAGCUCUCCGGUUAUACAUGAAACAUAAGAAGAAGUAAAGGGAUUAGGAACUGUUCAAAUAACUAUAAUAGAUUCAAAAUAGAGCAGCCCUUUACAC
RNAcentral lists this long non-coding RNA (215 nucleotides) under Solanum tuberosum (potato). RNAcentral describes it as "long non-coding RNA (STUB_LNC001536)". The record is from RNAcentral. Lineage: Eukaryota; Viridiplantae; Streptophyta; Magnoliopsida; Solanales; Solanaceae.